RNAcentral lists this transfer-messenger RNA (439 nucleotides) under Pseudomonas aeruginosa. Its description in RNAcentral is "partial transfer-messenger RNA". It matches the Rfam family "transfer-messenger RNA", at positions 1 to 327 of the family's 374-position model. From Rfam's summary of the family: Bacterial tmRNA, also known as 10Sa RNA or SsrA, is named for its dual tRNA and mRNA-like properties. Lineage: Bacteria; Pseudomonadati; Pseudomonadota; Gammaproteobacteria; Pseudomonadales; Pseudomonadaceae. The record is from RNAcentral.
GGGGCCGAUUAGGAUUCGACGCCGGUAACAAAACUUGAGGGGCAUGCCGAGCUGGUAGCAGAACUCGUAAAUUCGCUGCUGCAAACUUAUAGUUGCCAACGACGACAACUACGCUCUAGCUGCUUAAUGCGGCUAGCAGUCGCUAGCAGCCUGUCGGACUUUUCCCCUCGCCGGUAGAAUUGCGCAUCGCUCCUGGAACCUGACUGUAUGAGCCGCUUUCGACCGAUAAACCGCGAAAUCGACUACUUGCUCCCGCCGUCGGUGCAGGACUGGCUGCCCGAGUCACAUUUGGCGCGCUACGUGGUGGAGGUCGUAGAGGGCCUGGAUCUGUCGAAGCUGGAGAGCGUCUAUGCGGGCCGUGGCAGCGCUGCCUACCAUCCGGCUAUGUUGCUGUCGUUGCUGAUCUACGGCUAUGCCACGGGUGCGUAUUCAAGCCGCA